This 424-nucleotide ribosomal RNA is filed under the name uncultured prokaryote. Its description in RNAcentral is "bacterial SSU rRNA". It matches the Rfam family "Bacterial small subunit ribosomal RNA", at positions 355 to 796 of the family's 1533-position model. The record is from RNAcentral.
UGGGGAAUCUUAGACAAUGGGCGCAAGCCUGAUCUAGCGAUGCCGCGUGAGUGACGAAGGCCCUAGGGUCGUAAAGCUCUUUCGCCAGGGAUGAUAAUGACAGUACCUGGUAAAGAAACCCCGGCUAACUCCGUGCCAGCAGCCGCGGUAAUACGGAGGGGGUUAGCGUUGUUCGGAAUUACUGGGCGUAAAGCGCGCGUAGGCGGACUAUUAAGUCGGGGGUGAAAGCCCGAGGCUCAACCUCGGAACUGCCUUCGAUACUGCGGGUCUUGAGUCCGGGAGAGGUGAGUGGAAUUCCUAGUGUAGAGGUGAAAUUCGUAGAUAUUAGGAAGAACACCAGUGGCGAAGGCGGCUCACUGGCCCGGUACUGACGCUGAGGCGCGAAAGCGUGGGGAGCAAACAGGAUUAGAUACCCCCGUAGUCC